Molecule: long non-coding RNA, 275 nt
Organism: Myotis brandtii (Brandt's bat)
Lineage: Eukaryota; Metazoa; Chordata; Mammalia; Chiroptera; Vespertilionidae
Exons: 3
Source: RefSeq, a predicted model, not a curated record
CAGGUGUUAUAUGGGCACUUCUCUCAGUUCUGGUGCUCUGGGUUGGAAAUCCCAGGUUGGGGUUUAGACUCCAGAGCUCUCAAUGGGAACCCCACACAGCUGAGAUAUCCCUCCGGACCAUUAGCUGCUAUCUGUAGGAGUCAGGCCACCCCUUUUGCAUCUCUGUAUUUUCUACCAGACUCUAUGUGGUCUCUACUUUCCAUCCUUGGCUAUCAGGGUUCUCUACAGCGAGUCUUCAGUUGAUUUUUCAGGGUGUUUUUUCAGUAUUUUAAUUG